RNAcentral lists this unclassified non-coding RNA (345 nucleotides) under soil metagenome. RNAcentral's name for it is "partial contains 5.8S ribosomal RNA, internal transcribed spacer 2, and large subunit ribosomal RNA". The stretch from base 1 to 120 matches the Rfam family "5.8S ribosomal RNA", at positions 35 to 154 of the family's 154-position model. The record is from RNAcentral.
GAUGAAGAACGCAGCGAAAUGCGAUAAGUAAUGUGAAUUGCAGAACUCAGUGAAUCAUCGAAUCUUUGAACGCACAUUGCGCCCCCUGGCUUUCCGGGGGGCAUGCCUGUCCGAGCGUCAUUGCUGCCCUCAAGCACGGCUUGUGUGUUGGGCCUCCGUCCUCCUCCCGGGGGACGGGCCCGAAAGGCAGCGGCGGCACCGCGUCCGGUCCUCGAGCGUAUGGGGCUUCGUCACCCGCUCUUGUAGGCCCGGCCGGCGCUUGCCGACACAUCAAUCUUUUUUCCAGGUUGACCUCGGAUCAGGUAGGGAUACCCGCUGAACUUAAGCAUAUCAAUAAGCGGAGGA